GGCCUUUUGAAUUUAAUAUAAGGUCUGACCUGCCCAGUGAUAGUUUUAACGGCCGCGGUAUACUGACCGUGCAAAGGUAGCAUAAUCAUUAGUCUUUUAAUAGAGGGCUGGAAUGAAAGGUUUCACGAGGAACUGACUGUCUCAUUUUAUUUGUUUUAAAAUUUAAUUUUUUAGUUAAAAAGCUAAAAUUUUAUUGGUAGACGAGAAGACCCUAUAGAGCUUUACAUAUAAUUAAAUAAAUAUUUUUAUAUUAAUAUUUUUAUUUAUUUUUUGUGUUUUGUUGGGGUGACAAAAAUAUAUAACUAACUUUUUUAUUUACUUUACAUUGAUUUAUGAAUAUUAGAUCCAAUAUUAUUGAUUAUUAGACUAAGUUACCUUAGGGAUAACAGCGUAAUCCUCCUCCAGAGUUCAUAUUUACAGGAUGGGCUUGCGACCUCGAUGUUGGAUUAAGAUAAUAAUUAGGUGUAGCCGCUUAAUUGAUAGGUCUGUUCGACCUUUAAAUUCUU
This 506-nucleotide ribosomal RNA is filed under the name Orthetrum melania. Its description in RNAcentral is "partial 16S rRNA". It matches the Rfam family "Bacterial large subunit ribosomal RNA", at positions 1819 to 2597 of the family's 2925-position model. The record is from RNAcentral. Lineage: Eukaryota; Metazoa; Arthropoda; Insecta; Odonata; Libellulidae.